AGUAAUACAUCGGAACGUACCCAGUAGCGGGGGAGUAACCUCUCGAAAGAGAAGCUAAUACCGCAUACGACCUAUGGGUGAAAGCGGGGGAUCGCAAGACCUCGCACUAUUGGAGCGGCCGAUAUCAGAUUAGCUAGUUGGUGGGGUAAAAGCCCACCAAGGCGACGAUCUGUAGCUGGUCUGAGAGGACGACCAGCCACACUGGAACUGAGACACGGUCCAG
This 223-nucleotide ribosomal RNA is filed under the name uncultured bacterium. RNAcentral describes it as "partial 16S ribosomal RNA". It matches the Rfam family "Bacterial small subunit ribosomal RNA", at positions 109 to 334 of the family's 1533-position model. The record is from RNAcentral.